AGCUUGACUGCGAGCCAAACACGGCGAGCAGGUACGAAAGUAGGGCUUAGUGAUCCGGUGGCAUCCAAGUGGAAGGGCCAUCGCUCAACGGAUAAAAGCUACCCUGGGGAUAACAGGCUAAUCUCUCCCAAGAGUUCAUAUCGACGGGGAGGUUUGGCACCUCGAUGUCGGCUCAUCACAUCCUGGAGCUGGAGUAGGUUCCAAGGGUUGGGCUGUUCGCCCAUUAAAGUGGUACGCGAGCUGGGUUCAAAACGUCGUGAGACAGUUUGGUUCAUAUCCAUCGCGGGCGCAAGAAGUUUGAGGGAGGCUGCUCCUAGUACGAGAGGACCGGAGUGGACGGAUCAACGGUGUACCAGUUGUCACGCCAGUGGCACGGCUGGAAAGCCGCAUCCGGAAAGGAUAAACGCUGAAAGCAUCUAAGCGUGAAGCCCGUCCCAAGAUGAGACUUCUCAUCAGCAAUGAGUAAGACCCCUUAAAGACGAUGAGGUUGAUAGGCUGUGAGUGGAAGAGCCGCGAGGCUUGGAGCGACGCAGUACUAAUAGGUCGAGGUCUUAACUUA
Molecule: ribosomal RNA, 559 nt
Filed under: human gut metagenome
Description: bacterial LSU rRNA
Rfam family: Bacterial large subunit ribosomal RNA
Source: RNAcentral